GGGGGCGAAGGGCUUUCGACGAGGAGAGUGAAGCACUAACUUGCGUGCCGUCGUGUCUGGACGACGUAAAUGCCAGGCCGUUAUUAAUUGCCAACGACAACGCAAUCGCUCUCGCGGCCUAAUUAGCUAACAGAGCCGUCCAACCCCGAGGAGCCUCAGUACGGGAAGGGCGCAACUACCGAGGAUAGGUGGAGCGAGCACGCUCGCGAUAGCUUCACCGAGAUCAGAGCGAGAUAGGCGACGGCCGAAUCCGUCGACCCGGUCCCGAGGGUAUUCGAGACUACGCACGUGAAUGAGGGUUAGGUGGAGCCUUUUCGGACCCGGGUUCGAUUCCCGGCGCCUCCACUA
This 348-nucleotide transfer-messenger RNA is filed under the name Polyangiaceae. RNAcentral describes it as "NIC37A-2 sp002085155 Standard tmRNA". It matches the Rfam family "transfer-messenger RNA". From Rfam's summary of the family: Bacterial tmRNA, also known as 10Sa RNA or SsrA, is named for its dual tRNA and mRNA-like properties. Its role is to liberate the mRNA from a stalled ribosome. Lineage: Bacteria; Pseudomonadati; Myxococcota; Polyangiales. RNAcentral also lists the same sequence under 1 other name. The record is from RNAcentral.